GCUUGUCUCAAAGAUUAAGCCAUGCAUGUCUUAGUGUAAAUAACUCUUAUGAAACUGCGAAUGGCUCAUUAAAUCAGUUAUAGUUUAUUUGAUGGUACCUACUACUCGGAUAACCGUAGUAAUUCUAGAGCUAAUACGUGCGCACAACCCGACUUCUGGAAGGGUCGUAUUUAUUAGAUAAAAGGCCAGCCGGGCUUUGCCCGACCUGCGGUGAAUCAUGAUAACUUCACGAAUCGUAUGGCCUUGUGCCGACGAUGUUUCAUUCAAAUUUCUGCCCUAUCAGCUUUGGAUGGUAGGGUAUUGGCCUACCAUGGCUUUAACGGGUAACGGAGAAUUAGGGUUCGAUUCCGGAGAGGGAGCCUGAGAAAUGGCUACCACAUCCAAGGAAGGCAGCAGG
This 397-nucleotide ribosomal RNA is filed under the name Chlamydomonas reinhardtii. RNAcentral describes it as "partial small subunit ribosomal RNA". It matches the Rfam family "Eukaryotic small subunit ribosomal RNA", at positions 30 to 432 of the family's 1831-position model. Lineage: Eukaryota; Viridiplantae; Chlorophyta; Chlorophyceae; Chlamydomonadales; Chlamydomonadaceae. The record is from RNAcentral.